UCCCUGGUAGCUCACUUGGUAAAGAAUCUGCCUGCAAUGCUGGAGAUUCCAGUUCAAUUCCUGGCUAGGGAA
RNAcentral lists this transfer RNA (72 nucleotides) under Ovis aries (sheep). It matches the Rfam family "tRNA". From Rfam's summary of the family: Transfer RNA (tRNA) molecules are approximately 80 nucleotides in length. Their secondary structure includes four short double-helical elements and three loops (D, anti-codon, and T loops). The record is from Rfam by way of RNAcentral. Lineage: Eukaryota; Metazoa; Chordata; Mammalia; Artiodactyla; Bovidae.